This 390-nucleotide ribosomal RNA is filed under the name uncultured bacterium. RNAcentral describes it as "bacterial SSU rRNA". It matches the Rfam family "Bacterial small subunit ribosomal RNA", at positions 28 to 419 of the family's 1533-position model. The record is from RNAcentral.
GACGAACGCUGGCGGCGUGCUUAACACAUGCAAGUCGAGCGGUAAGGCCCUUUCGGGGGUACACGAGCGGCGAACGGGUGAGUAACACGUGGGUGACCUGCCCUUAGCUCUGGGAUAAGCCUGGGAAACUGGGUCUAAUACCGGAUAUGACUCCAUGACGCAUGUUGUGGGGUGGAAAGCCUUGUGCGGCUAGGGAUGGGCCCGCGGCCUAUCAGCUUGUUGGUGGGGUGAUGGCCUACCAAGGCGACGACGGGUAGCCGGCCUGAGAGGGCGACCGGCCACACUGGGACUGAGACACGGCCCAGACUCCUACGGGAGGCAGCAGUGGGGAAUCUUGCGCAAUGGGCGAAAGCCUGACGCAGCGACGCCGCGUGAGGGAUGACGGCCCUC